RNAcentral lists this ribosomal RNA (503 nucleotides) under uncultured bacterium. Its description in RNAcentral is "partial 16S ribosomal RNA". It matches the Rfam family "Bacterial small subunit ribosomal RNA", at positions 30 to 523 of the family's 1533-position model. The record is from RNAcentral.
AUUGAACGCUGGCGGCAGGCUUAACACAUGCAAGUCGAGCGGGGUGAUGGUGCUUGCACUAUCACUUAGCGGCGGACGGGUGAGUAAUGCUUAGGAAUCUGCCUAUUAGUGGGGGACGACAUCUCGAAAGGGAUGCUAAUACCGCAUACGUCCUACGGGAGAAAGCAGGGGAUCACUUGUGACCUUGCGCUAAUAGAUGAGCCUACGUCGGAUUAGCUAGUUGGUGGGGUAAAGGCCUACCAAGGCGACGAUCUGUAGCGGGUCUGAGAGGAUGAUCCGCCACACUGGGACUGAGACACGGCCCAGACCCCUACGGGAGGCAGCAGUGGGGAAUAUUGGACAAUGGGGGGAACCCUGAUCCAGCCAUGCCGCGUGUGUGAAGAAGGCCUUAUGGUUGUAAAGCACUUUAAGCGAGGAGGAGGCUCUUUUGGUUAAUACCCAAGAUGAGUGGACGUUACUCGCAGAAUAAGCACCGGCUAACUCUGUGCCAGCCGCCGCAGUAA